RNAcentral lists this long non-coding RNA (1202 nucleotides) under Homo sapiens (human). Its description in RNAcentral is "long non-coding RNA NONHSAT219861.1". Lineage: Eukaryota; Metazoa; Chordata; Mammalia; Primates; Hominidae. The record is from RNAcentral.
CCGGGACCGACCACGGCCCACCCCUCCGGCCGCGGCGGCCGGGACCAGAACAGCGCAGGCUCUCCGCCCACGCCUGCCCUCGGCUCCCAGUCCGCGCUGCCGCCGCCCAGGUGACACGCAGGGACGGGAGCGGGGCUGCUAUGUCCCUCGGGCGCGCUUUGGGACGUUGCUGAGUGGCUACUGCUUGUGCUUUCUUGCUUCCAAGCUGGCGGUAAACCUUUUAAAUUCAGAGUGAUUCAAGGGCAUAGGCGUCGGAAUUGUGAUUUCGUGCGUGUUUUAUUUACCAGGCCUUCAAAUCAAAAAGGCCAGGCAAACACACGUUCUGGGGCUAUCAAGAAAGUUCACACGAAGGACAAAUCCAGCAGGGAGAAAGUGACAUACCUUGCGGGCUCAGGCUUGGGAUUUCUGCAGCCACGCGCGCGUUCACCCGACGGGACCUCGCCUGCACUGCCGCCGGGAGAAGCCUGCUCUAGACUCCGGCUCCAGGGGAGAGGGCUGGGCUCCACAGAGAGGAGCAGCCUCUUCUUCCAGACCAGCUGGUCUUGCUUCUGGAGCAUCUCUUGGAGCAGAAGACUCUGAGCCCCCGAACUCUGCAAAGCCUCCAGAGGACAUACCACCUCCAGGAUCAGGAUGCAGAGGUUCGCCAUCGGUGGUGUGAACUCAUUGUUAAGCACAAGUUCACGAAAGCCUACAAAAGUGUGGAGAGGUUCCUUCAGGAGGAUCAGGAAAGACCACAGCAAGAUUCUUUCAUUCGUCUCCUCCUAGCCUGGGGGACCAGGCUCGAACUGACCCUGGACAUCAAAGGAGGGAUUAUGUGGCUGCUAAAGCCAUCGGCCCACAGCCCUGUUCACAUCUUGGUGCUUCUCUUUCCCAGAGGCUGGUCCCAGCCAGGCACACACAAAAGGCAGAUUCUCGUAAACGCAGCCUCCCUCCCUGGAGGCUGCCUCCUGCCCUGGAUCUGGAGUGGAGCUGCUCUGAGAUUUUGAGUUCUUCUGCAGAGAUGAUUAAAUAUAUCCAAGAGACAUUGGAAAACCUGCUGAACAUUUUACAUUGGUCUGCUCAGCACAUGGCUGGAUGCGGAUAUUUCUAUAAUUCCAGAAAGUCACACAGCUCCUCUGUAUGAGACCAGUGGGCGCCAUUUAAAAGAACAGGAUGAGAAUCUAAGAUAUAUUAUUAAUAAAUGUAAUGGAUUUUUUUUUUGU